This is a long non-coding RNA of Brienomyrus brachyistius, 2128 nucleotides long. RefSeq lists it as uncharacterized. NCBI's taxonomy places the organism in Eukaryota, Metazoa, Chordata, Actinopteri, Osteoglossiformes, Mormyridae. The record is from RefSeq and is a predicted model, not a curated record. The transcript is spliced from 3 exons.
GUGAGACAUAAUUAUUGGGGUGUUGUGUUACCCAGUUUUGAUUAUUGGGGGGGUUUAGUCAAAUGGAGUGAGGCUGACCCGGGGUGAGACUGGAUCAGAGUGAACAGAAUCUGAAGGGAACCAGAGCCAAACCUGAAACCCGACGCUGACACCAGUUUCAGUCAGAACGAAGUACACAUUUCAUUAAAAAGUGGUGGCCAUGCUUGAGGAUCGGCCAUUCAGUAAUCUAGCUGAGACCCAGAUUGAUUUAUCUGUGCUAGACUCCCCUGACUUAAAUGGUACAUAUUAUAUAUGCAAAGAGUGAUAUGGAUUGAACUUCUUUCAACUGCUAUGCAACUUAUCUGUUUAUGUUAAUAAUAAGCUUAUUAUGUCUUCCAAGUAAGCAAGCUAGUAUAGGGGCUCACUGUGUUUUCGUCAUUACUUUGUGUACUGAGGAUACUCACUAAGUUUGAGGAAUAGAUUUGAGUAAUAUUUAAGUAAAGGCACAGCUGACGUCAUAUGUCACGUCUCCAGGGUAGCAUAAAGAUCAAGUAAAGCGGACUUUGGUAUUUUCUUCACCUAAUGUGACCAAGAUCUCUGUGACUAAAUCUGGAAUCUAGUGAAUUAGAAGGCAUCUACAACGCACCCAACGAUCUCUAAACUAUCAGUAAAAUAUUUUAUUGCAAUUUCAUACAAUAUGAAAAUACAUAGGCCUAUAUGACAUGAACUUGAAUAGGAUCACAUUUUCAUUUUUGAUAUCUUAUUUACUUAAAUUUCCAACGUAAGACAGACUGUAUUCAAUAACUAUUAUUUGCACAAAAAGAAAUAUGUUUGAAACGUAACAGCCUAUUUACACCCAGAUAACCCUGGAAGGCAGUGGGUCGCUGACGUAUAAUUGUCACGAUGUUAAGCUGUUUCAGUACGAUUAGACACUGCAGCCUUAAAGCAGUUAAACGUUUACAAAGAGUUGCAUGAAACCAGUACGUGACGAGCGUGUGACAUUCGCAACUCAUUAACUCCGUCGUCAUAACACCUUAUUUCUUGCGAUCUGCUUUUUUCUAAGUAAGUGAGAUCAUUGCUAAGCUACUCGGAUUUUAAAGUUUUCCGUGAGAGCUGCACCUCAAGCGGCUAAACGCUGCUCGGGUGUUUGUGUCACUUUCGAGUUGGUCCCCGGUCACCUCCGACGGGGACAGAAAGUUAACGGGAAACAUUUUUCAUUUCUGAGAUCCUGUUUACCCAAACUAAUUUGUUCCUUCUUGCAAAUAUCAGAACAUCUGAACAGUGAAUUUUCAUAGACACCCCUUUUUUUCUACGCUGCGUUUCCUGUAUUGCUCCUACAAUUUCGUUUUCUUUGUUUAUUUGUUUAUUUAGAAAACAGCAGCCAUAAGGUCCACAUCAGAGAUCCUCGUCUCAUGAUGAUAUCGAUUGCAAAAUUGAACGCAUAAUUACGGGCAGUUAGAACAAUUAUCUUUGUUUUCUGGAUUCAGAAAUGAUAGUUUUAUUUCUGGCAGUAAACUCCACGUUGGUGAAGGUCUGAAUUUUGCUUUUGUUACACCCAACUGAGGCCAUACGGGUUCUGGGUGGCACAACGGUGUCCAACACUGCCAGAAACGCGAGGGAGGGCGCAAAGAAGAUGUUUAAGAAAGCGGAGAGGAGAAAAGACUCUGUUCGGCUGAAGGCUGAGUCAUUGGGCAAGGUUACCGAAGAAAGAGGGCAGUGCACUUUUACAGAGAACCAGGAGGCCCCGUGACGAACUGCUGAAGAAGCAAAUGAUCCUGUACGCAGCUCUAAAACAGAAUGACGUUACAGGCAUUUACAGGCAACACAUUAACUGACCUGAGAUGGUGUUGUUUUAAAGGGGUAUUUCUCUGACAUGUGAAUACCUUGCAAUCACAACCCAUCAUCUGGGUACCCCCCUCCCCCCUCAAAUAUGGCCAAAUCAUAUUAAACAAAAGUUUAACUUCAAAAACAUUUGGUUUCCCACCUAUGCACAGCACAAACAACUGCAGCAACAACACCUGUUGAAUUUCAACAAACCUGCAGAGUUUGAACAUGGCAAAUAAUUUGGCCAUAUUUAUUUGCAUUUAGAAAUGGUCCAUGGAAGUAAGUAUGUAUUAAGUAUUUGUUCUGCAAUGUAAUGAUGUUUCUG